ACUAUUAACAUGAGUUAAGUCUAAUAAUAACAUGAGCUAACUGACAUGCAAAAGUAGACUUUCUGAAAGUUAUUAUUUAUGGAAAUCAACUAUAAAAGGAAGAAUAAGUUUCCAUUUUGGGGGAUAGUUAUGCUCUAAAAAUGAAAGUUACUAUUUAUGGAAAUCAACUAUAAAAGGAAUGGUAAGUUUCCAUUUUAAGGGGGAUAGUUAUGCUCUAAAAACGAAAGUUACUAUUUAUAGAAAUCAACUAUAAAAGGAAGGGUAAGUUUCCAUUUUGGGGGGAUAGUUAUGCUCUAAAAAUAAAAGUUACUAUUUAUGGAAAUCAACUAUAAAAGGAAGGGUAAGUUUCUAUUUUGGGGGAAUAGUUAUGCUUUAAAAACAAAAGUUACUAUUUAUGGAAAUCUACUAUAAAAGGAAUGGUAAGUUUCCAUUUCGGGGGAUUCCUUUUCUGAAAAUUCAACACUAAUUGCCACAUGUUACGACCUCAUUCGUCCUAAGUCACUAAUCUGUCAAUAUCAUUAAAGUUUUACUUUUUUUCCACCAUUUCAAAACUUUAAAAAUGCAUAGAAAAUAGCUCCAGUGUCGGAAAAAUUCACCGAAAAAUGUCACGGACAACAGGUGAGACCCACUUCACAACUACGUCUAAAUUUUAGUAAUUUGAAUCACAACGUACCUACUAAUGUGGUAUAACUUGUUUGGUAGGUUAUAUGCUAGUGUACAACUUUGUGAACCAACUAUAUGGAGGAUGCAAAAUUUUCAAAAAUCUUGUGAAAUAGGAUGUGAUCGGUAUAGUAAAAUAUGGCUACGGUAGAAAAAUCACUUUAAUUUACCAAAGUUCUGGCCCCGAUCGAAGCGGUCAACCCUAUUUACGUUUAUGCUUCACUAAGGAGAGCCCUAUCCUCGGGUGGUAAACGUCCCCAAAGUUUUACAUGGGUGGUUAUAUCUCAUCUAUGUGAGACUUUAUUGUGUUGAAGAAUCCACCAAACUAGGUCACAAAGAGGUAGGUAAGAUAGUUUUCGUGUGAUAAGUGAAUAUGAAUUAAGGUUGACCGCUUUGAUCGAGCCCUGAACAUUAUUGAAUCCAGUUGAAUUUUAUACCAUAGCCAUGUUUCACUAUAAUGAUCACAUCAUACGGUCAAUUUUCAUUUUGUGAAUUUUAGUCAUCGAAAUCAUAACAUGCCUACUAAAGUAUUAUAACUUGUUUGAUAGGUUAUAUGCUAGUGUACAACUUUGUGAACCAACUAUAUAGAGGAAGCAAAAUUUUUAAAAAUCUCGUGAAAUAUGAUGUGAUCGAUAUAGUAAAAUACGGCUACGGUAAGAAAAUCACUUUAAUUCGCCAAUGUUUGGGCCCCGAUCGAAGCUGUCAACUCUAUUUACACUUAUGCUUCAAUAAGGAGAGCCCUAUCCUCGGCUGGUAAACAUCCCCAAAGUUUUACAUGGGUGGUUAUGUCUCAUCUAUGUGACACUUUAUUGUGUUGAAGAAUCCACCAAACUAGGUCACGAAGAGGUAGGUAAGAUAGUUUUCGUGUGAUAAGUGAAGAUGAAUUAAGGUUGAUCGCUUUGAUCGAGCGCCGAACAUUGUUGAAUCCAGUUGAAUUUUAUACCAUAGCCAUGUUUCACUAUAAUGAUCACAUCAGACGGUCAAUUUUCAUUUUGUGAAUAUUCAUUGAUUGAAUCUCAAGAACAAUUUAGAUUUCCAGAAAGUCUAUUUUUCUUUAAUUUCUAUUAUGUUAAUGGUAGCCAUUUCUUAUGAAAAAAGUGGUUGUGUCUUAUGUUAAAUGUAGACUUUUCAUCUUUUACCUUGGUUUUUCUUCAAUCUCAAGAACAAUUUAGAUUUCCAGAAAGUCUACUUUUCUUUUAUUUCUCUUAUGUUAAUGGUAGACAUUUCUUAUGAAAAUAGUAGAGGUGUCUUAUGUUAAAUGUAGACCUUACAUCUUUUACCUUGGGUUGCUUCAAUCUCAAGAACAAUUUAGAUUUACAGAAAGUCUACUUUUCUUUGAUUUCUCUUAUGUUAAUGGUAGACAUUUCUUAUGAAAAAAGUAGUUGUGUCUUAUGUUAAAUGUAAACUUUUCAUCUUUUACCUUGGUUUUCUUCAAUCUCAAGAACAAUUUACAUUUCCAGAAAGUCUAUUUUUCUUUGAUUUCUCUUAUGUUAAUGGUAGACAUUUCUUAUGAAAAUAGUAGAGAUGUCUUAUGUUAAAUGUAGACUUUGUAUCUUUUUCCUUGGGUUGCUUCAAUCUCAAGAACAAUUUAGAUUUCCAGAAAGUCUACUUUUCUUUGAUUUCUCUUAUGUUAAUGGUAGCCAUUUCUUAUGAAAAAUAUAGUUGUGUCUUAUGUUAAAUGUAGACUUUGCCACUUUUACCUUGGGUUACUUCAAUCUCAAGAACAAUUUAGAUUUUCAGAAAGUCUACUUUUCUUUGAUUUCUCUUGUGUUAAUGGUAGACAUUUCUUAUGAAAAAAGUAGUUGUGUCUUAUGUUAAAUGUAAACUGUGCGUCUUUUACCUUGGUUUGCUUCAAUCUUAAGAACAAUUUAGAUUUCUAGAAAGUCUACUUUUCUUUGAUUUCUCUUAUGUUAAUGGUAGCCAUUUCUUAUGAAAAUAGUAGAGGUGUCUUAUGUUAAAUGUAGACCUUACAUCUUUUACCUUGGGUUGCUUCAAUCUCAAGAACAAUUUAGAUUUUCAGAAAGUCUACUUUUCUUUGAUUUCUCUUAUGUUAAUGGUAGCCAUUUCUUAUGAAUAAAGUAGUUGUGUCUUAUGUUAAAUGUAGAUUUUGCAUCUUUUACUUUGGUUGGUUCAAUCUCAAUCACAAUUUUGAUUUCUAGAAAGUUUACUUUUCUUUGAUUUCGCUUAUGUUAAUGGUAGAGAUUUGUAAUAAAAACAGUAGAUGUAUCUUAUGUUAAAUGUAGAGUUGCAAAUUUUACUUGAUUCAAUCUCAUGAACAAUUUUGAUUUGUAGAAAGUCUACUUUUCUAAUGAAAACAGUAGAUGUGUCUUAUGUUAAAUGUGUCUUUCGACUUGCAACAUUUUCUGUGAUAUUUUUCAUGACAGUAGUAGAUAUUUCUUAUGAUAGUUGUAGACAGUCUCAAGAAUCAUUUUGAUUUCUAAAAAGUCUACUUUUGUGUGAUUUUACUUAUCUGAGUGGUAGAUAUUUCUAAUUAAAACUGUACAUAUAGAGAGACUUAACGGAGAGUUAACGGUGUUAGUUUGCUUUAACCUGUUAUAACAAGUCAAAAUUGGUUGGGUAUCCAUACCUUA
Molecule: long non-coding RNA, 3251 nt
Filed under: Fragaria vesca (wild strawberry)
Lineage: Eukaryota; Viridiplantae; Streptophyta; Magnoliopsida; Rosales; Rosaceae
Description: long non-coding RNA (FVES_LNC001003)
Source: RNAcentral